CUGUAUGAAUUAUUAUGUGUGUGUUCAGAGUGCCCUUCUGUUUCUGUCUUUUACUCCGAUCAGAACAGCUAAAUGGUUUUCUUCUUCCUUGCCUCUCCUUUUGUUGCCCUGAGUUGCUCAUGUGACCCGAUGCUUUUCGACAUUUAGAGCCAUUAAACUGAUUCUCAUCAGUGUUGUUUGAAUGAAU
Molecule: long non-coding RNA, 187 nt
Organism: Thalassophryne amazonica
Lineage: Eukaryota; Metazoa; Chordata; Actinopteri; Batrachoidiformes; Batrachoididae
Exons: 3
Source: RefSeq, a predicted model, not a curated record